RNAcentral lists this ribosomal RNA (140 nucleotides) under uncultured eukaryote. Its description in RNAcentral is "partial 18S ribosomal RNA". It matches the Rfam family "Eukaryotic small subunit ribosomal RNA", at positions 1299 to 1458 of the family's 1831-position model. The record is from RNAcentral.
UGGUGGAGUGAUUUGUCUGGUUAAUUCCGUUAACGAACGAGACCUUAACCUAUUAAAUAGUUACUCGUAACCUCGGUUACGAGGGCAACUUCUUAGAGGGACUUUGUGUGUCAAACGCAAGGAAGUUUGAGGCAAUAACA